Molecule: ribosomal RNA, 891 nt
Filed under: Endomelanconiopsis freycinetiae
Lineage: Eukaryota; Fungi; Ascomycota; Dothideomycetes; Botryosphaeriales; Botryosphaeriaceae
Description: LSU rRNA
Rfam family: Eukaryotic large subunit ribosomal RNA
Source: RNAcentral
GCAUAUCAAUAAGCGGAGGAAAAGAAACCAACUGGGAUUGCCUUAGUAACGGCGAGUGAAGCGGCAAUAGCUCAAAUUUGAAAGCUGGCUCCUUCGGAGUCCGCGUUGUAAUUUGUAGAGGAUGCUUCGGCAAGGGCUCCCGUCUAAGUCCCCUGGAACGGGGCGUCACAGAGGGUGAGAAUCCCGUAUGUGAUGGGUUGCCUAAGCCAUGUGAAGCUCCUUCGACGAGUCGAGUUGUUUGGGAAUGCAGCUCUAAAUGGGAGGUAAAUUUCUUCUAAAGCUAAAUACCGGCCAGAGACCGAUAGCGCACAAGUAGAGUGAUCGAAAGAUGAAAAGCACUUUGGAAAGAGAGUUAAAAAGUACGUGAAAUUGUUGAAAGGGAAGCGCUUGCAGCCAGACUUGUCCGCAGUUGCUCAGCCGGUCUCUUGACCGGCGUACUCUUCUGCGGCCAGGCCAGCAUCAGUUCGGGCGGUCGGAUAAAGGUCCUGGGAAUGUAGCUCCCCUCGGGGAGUGUUAUAGCCCAGGGCGCAAUGCGGCCAGCCUGGACUGAGGAUCUCGCUUCGGCUAGGAUGCUGGCGUAAUGGCUGUAAGCGGCCCGUCUUGAAACACGGACCAAGGAGUCUAACAUCUAUGCGAGUGUUUGGGUGUCAAACCCAUGCGCGUAAUGAAAGUGAACGGAGGUGGGAACCCUCACGGGUGCACCAUCGACCGAUCCUGAUGUCUUCGGAUGGAUUUGAGUAAGAGCAUAGCUGUUGGGACCCGAAAGAUGGUGAACUAUGCCUGAAUAGGGUGAAGCCAGAGGAAACUCUGGUGGAGGCUCGCAGCGGUUCUGACGUGCAAAUCGAUCGUCAAAUUUGGGUAUAGGGGCGAAAGACUAAUCGAACCAUUUAU